AAACUCAAAGGAAUUGACGGGGCCCGCACAAGCGGUGGAGCAUGUGGUUUAAUUCGACGCAACGCGAAGAACCUUACCAGGGCUUGACAUCCCCUGACCGCGUAUGAAAGUACGUUUUCACCCUCGGGUGACAGGGAGACAGGUGGUGCAUGGUUGUCGUCAGCUCGUGUCGUGAGAUGUUGGGUUAAGUCCCGCAACGAGCGCAACCCUUGUUUUUAGUUGCCAGCAGGUAAGGCUGGGCACUCUAGAGAUACUGCCGGUGACAAACCGGAGGAAGGUGGGGAUGACGUCAAAUCAUCAUGCCCUUUAUGUCCUGGGCUACACACGUACUACAAUGGCCUGUACAAAGGGUAGCGAAGCCGCGAGGUGAAGCCAAUCCCAAAAAGCAGGUCUCAGUUCGGAUUGUAGGCUGCAACUCGCCUACAUGAAGUCGGAAUCGCUAGUAAUCGCGGAUCAGCAUGCCGCGGUGAAUACGUUCCCGGGCCUU
RNAcentral lists this ribosomal RNA (487 nucleotides) under uncultured Peptococcaceae bacterium. RNAcentral's name for it is "bacterial SSU rRNA". It matches the Rfam family "Bacterial small subunit ribosomal RNA", at positions 897 to 1382 of the family's 1533-position model. The record is from RNAcentral. Lineage: Bacteria; Bacillati; Bacillota; Clostridia; Eubacteriales; Peptococcaceae.